GGAGAGGUGCGUGAGCGGUUGAAACGGCCGGUCUCGAAAACCGGUGUACGCCUUCUGCGUACCGAGGGUUCGAAUCCCUCCCUCUCCGCCA
This 91-nucleotide transfer RNA is filed under the name Deltaproteobacteria bacterium. RNAcentral's name for it is "tRNA-Ser". It matches the Rfam family "tRNA". From Rfam's summary of the family: Transfer RNA (tRNA) molecules are approximately 80 nucleotides in length. Their secondary structure includes four short double-helical elements and three loops (D, anti-codon, and T loops). Lineage: Bacteria; Pseudomonadati; Myxococcota; Myxococcia. The record is from RNAcentral.